CCUACGGGCGGCAGCAGUAGGGAAUUUUCGUCAAUGGGCGCAAGCCUGAACGAGCAAUGCCGCGUGAACGAGGAAGGUCUUCGGAUCGUAAAGUUCUGUUGAAGGGGAAAAAGAGCGGAGAGAGGAAAUGGUCUCCGAUUGAUAUUACCCUUCGAGGAAGUCCCGGCUAACUACGUGCCAGCAGCCGCGGUAAUACGUAGGUGGCGAGCGUUAUCCGGAAUGAUUGGGCGUAAAGGGUGCGUAGGCGGCCUGCGAAGUCUGGAGUGAAAGGUACCGGCUCAACCGGUACAGGCUCUGGAAACUGGCGGGCUAGAGAGCAGGAGAGGGCGGUGGAACUACAUGUGUAGCGGUAAAAUGCGUAGAUAUAUGGAAGAACACCAGUGGCGAAGGCGGCCGCCUGGCCUGUUACUGACGCUGAGGCACGAAAGCGUGGGGAGCAAAUAGGAUUAGAUACCCCUGUAGUC
Molecule: ribosomal RNA, 464 nt
Filed under: uncultured bacterium
Lineage: Bacteria
Description: partial 16S ribosomal RNA
Rfam family: Bacterial small subunit ribosomal RNA
Source: RNAcentral